This 301-nucleotide ribosomal RNA is filed under the name uncultured bacterium. RNAcentral's name for it is "partial 16S ribosomal RNA". It matches the Rfam family "Bacterial small subunit ribosomal RNA", at positions 509 to 807 of the family's 1533-position model. The record is from RNAcentral.
CAGUAGCCGCGGGAAUACGUAGGUGGCAAGCGUUGUCCGGAAUUAUUGGGCGUAAAGCGUGCGCAGGCGGUUUUGUAAGACAGGCGUGAAAUCCCCGGGCUCAACCUGGGAAUGGCGCUUGUGACUGCAAAGCUAGAGUGCGGCAGAGGGGGAUGGAAUUCCGCGUGUAGCAGUGAAAUGCGUAGAUAUGCGAAGGAACACCGAUGGCGAAGGCAAUCCUCUGGGCCUGCACUGACGCUCAUGCACGAAAGCGUGGGGAGCAAACAGGAUUAGAUACCCCUGUAGUCCCUGUCUCUUAUAC